RNAcentral lists this long non-coding RNA (903 nucleotides) under Oryctolagus cuniculus (rabbit). RNAcentral describes it as "lncRNA (ENSOCUG00000029917.1)". The record is from RNAcentral. Lineage: Eukaryota; Metazoa; Chordata; Mammalia; Lagomorpha; Leporidae.
UUUUUUUUCUUCCAUAAAAAACAAAAAAAAAAAUAAAAAAUAAAAAAAAAAAAAAAUAUAAAACUUUUUUUUUUUUUUUUUUUUUCUCUUAAUUGUAAUUAUCUAGUUUACUGGAAAAUCCUCUCUACAAAAAGGAUCACGACAAUGUAAAAAAUUUUUACCUUAUCUAAAAAAAAUCAGAAGAACAGGGCGACGAGCGACUGGGUGGGGUAGGGGGAGAGGUGGGGGCCGCGGUGCACGCGGGCGCGGGGAGGCGGUGGCGGCGGCGGGGACGCUGCAGACAAAAGGAGCCGCGCGCCCUCCCGAGCGCGGCAGCCCUCGCCGGGCAGGCGAAGGAGCGCGCCGCGAACGGCCGCCUCCUUCGCGGACUCAGUUUCCCCAGCUCGCUUCCUCAGCUGGAAAACCGGGAGGGUAGCCGCCCCGCCGCCCCCGGGCGCAGCAGAAUUGGUUUUCUCCUGGAGACAGACCCUUGGCGCCUCGGGCCUGCCUUGAGUGUCCUGGCUGUGACAGUGCCCUGGCUGCUGUCCUGUCUCCUCCUGCCCUCGGGUGCUCCUGUCAGACUCAUCUCCCUCAAACUCUUCUCUGGAGAGAAAACCUCUGGGCUCUCGGGACCUGCAGACACGGCCCCGCCCUGGCCGGCUGUUUUCUUCUGCCACCUGCCACUGUGGUCUCCAGGCGCCUCAUCUCCUCCAGGGCUGAGAUCUGGACUGGGGCUUCAGUCUCAGCGGUAGCUCUCCUGAGAGCCAGCCGGGGAGGAGUGGCUUCCUUCCUGCCUCCGUGAGCCCAGGGAGUCCCAUUGGAAGACAUCGGCUGUACUAACUGCAUCUGCUACAUUCACAGUAGAGUCAGAGGCUUGCCCGGUUCAUUCCUUACUGCCGAGAAAUAAAACCUUGCCAAAUAACA